This is a long non-coding RNA of Hemicordylus capensis (graceful crag lizard), 1471 nucleotides long. RefSeq lists it as uncharacterized. The transcript is spliced from 2 exons. NCBI's taxonomy places the organism in Eukaryota, Metazoa, Chordata, Lepidosauria, Squamata, Cordylidae. The record is from RefSeq and is a predicted model, not a curated record.
CUCUGGCUGCCUCCUCCUUCCUGGCUGGCUUGGGCCCUACUGGAGUUCAGGCUUCACAGAGGCCUACACGAGGCCUCCGUGGAAGCCCCGCCCACCCGCCAAUCAGCUGAGAAGCAGGAGAAAAGGAGCUCUUGGCAGCUUGUCUGCUGCCUCGAUUGCCGGCCAGGAGAACAAGCUGGAGAGACGGCGAACAGGGCAAACUAUAGUUCUUUACUACUGGAAGAAGGCUCCUUCCAUUGGAGAGUGUGAAUCUUUGGAUUCAGAACAAUACAAAGAAGAUUCUUAGGUCUUUUUCUAUUAAUUAGGAAAGCACAGACCUAAUUAAGUACAGUUAAUUUGUUUAAACAUCCAUAGUUCAUAACUCUAAAUACUCUUCCAAGUUGUGGUUUACAGCUUAUUCACUGCAUCAAAAUAAACAUAUUAGUCAUGCAUCACUUCUCACUGUGGGAAAGAAUCCUAAAACUUAUUUUUAAACAUUAAAAAAAGAAUCCACCCUUGAGGUAAAUAACCUUGACUAAGAUUUUUUUUCCCCUCCUGCACUUAAAAUAUAUGGCUGUGUACUUUUUCUUGAUUGAUCAUAUCUUUCUUCAGCUGAAGAACUGAAAUUCAGCUGACUUUCAAUAUUUUACAAUUAACAGACAUUUAAAAGAUGGUGAAGUGAGGAUGUGUAGUGAAGGAAACUUUCUUUAAAUAAAUAUUCAAUCUUAGUCACUGUAAUUAAAGAUUAUAAUUAACACCUUUUUUUCUAUUAACAUCUUAAAAGGGAAAAAAGCCAAUGUUUUUUGCUACAAAUACUGCAGCCAUGCACAACUUUGCCCCCCCCCCCAGCUGGAGUUAGACUAUAACUCCCUUCCUCCCCAGGUCCAGUGGUCAGGGAUGAUGGGAGUUGGAGUUGAAGGGCCAAAGUUUUGCAACCCUGGCAUAAUGCACUACAAUGUUUUCCACUAUUUUGAGUGGUGGGAUUGGUAAUAUUAAGACCCACUAAGACCUUGUAUUUCUUUGGACUGUAGAAUACUGAGGGACUCCAGCCUCUCUAGUGAUUGUUUAGCAGACACUUCCACUGCUGUUCUUCCAUUUGUAACUAAAAGCCCUCUUCCUAAGUUGGGUAAGAAGGUCGGUAUUUCAGUGACUUCCAGUAAACAGCCUCUGGAAUGGAGGAAGACGUUCAAAAGCAGUUUGUCAUUUAGCAUAGGGGUCUGCUGUAUAAAGAAAGAAAAGUACAUCAUAAUUGUGUGUGCUUAAAGUUUUCUUUCUAGAUCCUGGCCUUGUAAUGUUUUUGUUUCAUUAUUGGUGCUGUUAGAUGAAGGUCUUCUAGUGUUUUAUAUAUAUAUAUAUAAGUACCUUCUUAAGGCUUGUUUUCGUGCUUGGAGAGCCUUUGAACUGUAUUGCUGGCGAGGAAUUCUGAAGCAACGUCCUUUCCAGCCAAUAGCUCUAUAACUAAAAAAGCGAGGCACCAUACCUCUGAAACUGC